Molecule: long non-coding RNA, 1335 nt
Organism: Xenopus laevis (African clawed frog)
Lineage: Eukaryota; Metazoa; Chordata; Amphibia; Anura; Pipidae
Exons: 2
Source: RefSeq, a predicted model, not a curated record
CAAUUCGGAACCCAUACACACCGCCAUGCUGUACACAUCCUGCACCGACCCCAUAGCGACUCCAUCCCGUGCUGGCCGGCCGCUACUACACUAGUUUCCAAUGUUGUGGGCGGGACUUCAGCUGUCACGUCAGGAAAAACGUAACCCUCACCCGACCCUAACCCACAAAUUGUUACUAUUUUAGGACCCAGACCUGACCCGUACCUGCUUCUUCUCGCUCUGUAAUCAACAUCUGGUUCUCUGGUUCUAGACAUGGAAUCUUCUUGAGCAAAGGACGAGUGUACUUCCAUUGUAUGACCCUCACUCAACCCUACUCUGAACUGAACCUACCCAACCAGUGGUCAACCUGCAGGUCACCAGCAGCCUUUCCUCCAUCAUCCCAUGAUAGUCACUUGCACAUUCAGUUAAUGGAGAUAAUAUCUGCCUUACUACAAUAGAUAUGCAAGUGCCUUUAUUCAUUCUUGUAUUUCACAAAUAUGUUAUUAUACAUUAUUUCUAUAGCACUAACAUAUUCGUCUGAGCUUUGCAGAGCCUCAUCAUUCACAUGAGUCCCUGGCCCAGUUAUGUAGGAACAGAAUCCUUCUUGCACACAUUGGCACCUGGCUGUGGGGUACCUGAGAUUAAUGGAUCAGAUGAGAGUGAGUGUAGGACUGGCCAGACCAGGGAUGACUUUGACGUAGUUGGCCAGCUUGAAUAUAUUGCAAUAUAUGAACAAUCAAUCCCUGAUAGGCCAUUGAUUGGGACAAGUUCAGGGGAUCUCUUGAUAUGUCUACAGGAAUAUACAGUAAGCCCACACAGAUAUGAGGUUAAGCCCUGCUGUAUCCUGAGAGAAUGAAGGCCUUUCUUCCCUGAGCCGGGGCAGGAGAAAAGCUCUUCGAAAGAAAGCUCACAUUGAUAGGUUUAUUAAUAAAUUAUUCAAUUAUUCAUAAAUAUUUUAUUAAUAGACUUAUCACACUAGAUUGAACUUUACUCCAGUUAACCAUUUGAUGAGAUCACCCUUAUACAAUACCCCACAAACCUUCAGUGAAACUGAAUUUUGGUUUGACUGAAUGCUUAGGUUUCUUUCAUAGGUACACUGUUAUAAAAUGUAAAAGUGAGGCAAAAGACCCAAGGCAGUAGAAAAGACUAAUGGAGGCAGUGUCAGUUUAAGGAGCAUUUGCCAGAGCUCACCAUCAGAGCUUUUAUCUGCUCUAAUUUUUCAUGAAGCAUCCUCCAGAAAUUGCAGAACUUAUUUUCAUCAGCUAGAAGAACUCUACAGCAUAACUAUUUCAUUACUUUUUUUUUUAUCUGUACAAAUGUCCCUAAGUGAUCUUCUAAUAAAAGACUGGUAUCUUU